This 1570-nucleotide ribosomal RNA is filed under the name Escherichia coli. RNAcentral's name for it is "partial 23S ribosomal RNA". It matches the Rfam family "Bacterial large subunit ribosomal RNA", at positions 612 to 2167 of the family's 2925-position model. The record is from RNAcentral. Lineage: Bacteria; Pseudomonadati; Pseudomonadota; Gammaproteobacteria; Enterobacterales; Enterobacteriaceae. RNAcentral also lists the same sequence under 2 other names.
AUAAUGGGUCAGCGACUUAUAUUCUGUAGCAAGGUUAACCGAAUAGGGGAGCCGAAGGGAAACCGAGUCUUAACUGGGCGUUAAGUUGCAGGGUAUAGACCCGAAACCCGGUGAUCUAGCCAUGGGCAGGUUGAAGGUUGGGUAACACUAACUGGAGGACCGAACCGACUAAUGUUGAAAAAUUAGCGGAUGACUUGUGGCUGGGGGUGAAAGGCCAAUCAAACCGGGAGAUAGCUGGUUCUCCCCGAAAGCUAUUUAGGUAGCGCCUCGUGAAUUCAUCUCCGGGGGUAGAGCACUGUUUCGGCAAGGGGGUCAUCCCGACUUACCAACCCGAUGCAAACUGCGAAUACCGGAGAAUGUUAUCACGGGAGACACACGGCGGGUGCUAACGUCCGUCGUGAAGAGGGAAACAACCCAGACCGCCAGCUAAGGUCCCAAAGUCAUGGUUAAGUGGGAAACGAUGUGGGAAGGCCCAGACAGCCAGGAUGUUGGCUUAGAAGCAGCCAUCAUUUAAAGAAAGCGUAAUAGCUCACUGGUCGAGUCGGCCUGCGCGGAAGAUGUAACGGGGCUAAACCAUGCACCGAAGCUGCGGCAGCGACGCUGAUGCGUUGUUGGGUAGGGGAGCGUUCUGUAAGCCUGUGAAGGUGUGCUGUGAGGCAUGCUGGAGGUAUCAGAAGUGCGAAUGCUGACAUAAGUAACGAUAAAGCGGGUGAAAAGCCCGCUCGCCGGAAGACCAAGGGUUCCUGUCCAACGUUAAUCGGGGCAGGGUGAGUCGACCCCUAAGGCGAGGCCGAAAGGCGUAGUCGAUGGGAAACAGGUUAAUAUUCCUGUACUUGGUGUUACUGCGAAGGGGGGACGGAGAAGGCUAUGUUGGCCGGGCGACGGUUGUCCCGGUUUAAGCGUGUAGGCUGGUUUUCCAGGCAAAUCCGGAAAAUCAAGGCUGAGGCGUGAUGACGAGGCACUACGGUGCUGAAGCAACAAAUGCCCUGCUUCCAGGAAAAGCCUCUAAGCAUCAGGUAACAUCAAAUCGUACCCCAAACCGACACAGGUGGUCAGGUAGAGAAUACCAAGGCGCUUGAGAGAACUCGGGUGAAGGAACUAGGCAAAAUGGUGCCGUAACUUCGGGAGAAGGCACGCUGAUAUGUAGGUGAAGUCCCUCGCGGAUGGAGCUGAAAUCAGUCGAAGAUACCAGCUGGCUGCAACUGUUUAUUAAAAACACAGCACUGUGCAAACACGAAAGUGGACGUAUACGGUGUGACGCCUGCCCGGUGCCGGAAGGUUAAUUGAUGGGGUCAGCGCAAGCGAAGCUCUUGAUCGAAGCCCCGGUAAACGGCGGCCGUAACUAUAACGGUCCUAAGGUAGCGAAAUUCCUUGUCGGGUAAGUUCCGACCUGCACGAAUGGCGUAAUGAUGGCCAGGCUGUCUCCACCCGAGACUCAGUGAAAUUGAACUCGCUGUGAAGAUGCAGUGUACCCGCGGCAAGACGGAAAGACCCCGUGAACCUUUACUAUAGCUUGACACUGAACAUUGAGCCUUGAUGUGUAGGAUAGGUGGGAGGCUUUGAAGUGUGG